RNAcentral lists this long non-coding RNA (531 nucleotides) under Equus caballus (horse). Its description in RNAcentral is "lncRNA (ENSECAG00000046466.1)". The record is from RNAcentral. Lineage: Eukaryota; Metazoa; Chordata; Mammalia; Perissodactyla; Equidae.
CUUGCAACACCUGCAGCCAAGAAGCAGGUGGUGUUUACUCUGGGCCCACACAGGCCUGAAGCCCUCUACGCUGUGGGAGCCCAGGAAGGGCCCGGCAGGCAGAAUGACUGAGAACUGGGAGGCAGAGCAUCCGGAGGGGGUGUCUUUAUGAGCGACUGAACAACUUGACAAUGAAAGCAUAUACAGUCGUUAAAAAGAGUGGAAGGGGAAGGACUGCUUGCUACAUUGAGACGUGACGAAAGAGGAGCGCGUGUGUGAACAAAGCUAUGAAACAGUUAUUUACUGAGGGAUUCCUGCGUGCCGACACUGCACAUCGGUGAACUCAAGCAGCCCUCAAAAUAAAGCCACAAACCGAUAUUUGACGCCUCCACUUCAUCGAUGAGCAACGUGCUAACUCCCUAAGACCACACAGCUGAGUCGAGGAAACAACGAGAUUUAAAGUCAAAUCUUUGGGAUUCUCAAGCUGAUCUUUCCCCACCAUAUUAUACUUUCUUUCAUGGAGUAAUGAAUAAAACAUACAUUUCAAACAAG